This 375-nucleotide unclassified non-coding RNA is filed under the name Libinhania nimmoana. RNAcentral describes it as "partial external transcribed spacer". The record is from RNAcentral. Lineage: Eukaryota; Viridiplantae; Streptophyta; Magnoliopsida; Asterales; Asteraceae.
CGUAAAGGUGCAUGAGUGGUGUUUGGUUUGUUACGGGUGGUUGGCUCUUUGCUUGCGCAACAACUUCCACCUGGCAUACCUCUUCAGUCUUGUGUCAAUGAUCGUAUCGCAUUGAGUACACGGUGGGUUUCUUGUGUUGGAUGCCUAAUUGAUGGUAUCAUUUGAACAACUGAUGUCCGUUUUCGUCUUGUGUUGCACAUGCGAUGUGAGAUGAACCUUGAAGCAGCCUUUGUGUUCCACUAUUUCGAUGCACUUGCAUUGUUAUUGUGGCCCACUAAGUAUUGCUUGGUCUCGUGGAUAUGGAACCUGGAGUGGGCAUGGAAUAUUUACUAGUUCCUUGUUUGCCCUACGUUAGCUUUCCUAAUACGAUUGUCU